UAAAGGGGGGACUGCGUGGCUGCAGCGGAUAUACGAAUUCCCCCCUACCCGCUGAACUUACGCAUAUCAAUAAGCGGAGAGAAAAACAAACUAUAUCACAGGUAUUCCCCUAGUAUCUGCCAGUGAAGCGGGAAAAGCUCAAUUUUAAAAUCCGGCGUUCCUUUGGUCGUCCGAGUUGUAGUCUGGAGAAGUGUUUUUCGCGCUGGCCCGUGUGCAAGUCCGCUUGGAAUAGGGCGUCAUAGAGUCGUGAGAAUCCCGUCUUUGACAUGGACUACCAGUGCUUUGUGAUGCGCUCUCAAAGAGUCGAGUUGCGUGCGAAUGCAGCUCAAAAUGGGUGGUAAAUUCCAUCUAAAGCUAAAUACAGGCGAGAGACCGAUAGCGAACAAGCACCGUGAGGGAAAGAUGAAAAGCACUUUGAAAAGAGAGUUAAACAGUACGUGAAAUUGCUGAAAGAGGAAACACUUGAGCGUCAGUCGCAUCUGCUAGGACUCAGUCUCGCUUCUGCUUGCUGUACCUUCUAGUUUGACGGGCCAGAAUCGAUUUUAGACCGUUGCAAAAAGGCUGAUCGAAUGUGGCACCUUUGGGUGCGCGAUACACCUCUAUCGCAUACGACCGCUUGCAUCGAGUACUGCUGCAAGCCUCUAUGUCCGAAGUCCGUCCCACGAACGUGCGUUAGGAUGCUGGCAUAACGGAUUUAAGUGACCCGUCUUUGAAAUACCGGAAGUGUA
Molecule: ribosomal RNA, 728 nt
Filed under: uncultured fungus
Lineage: Eukaryota; Fungi
Description: eukaryotic LSU rRNA
Rfam family: Eukaryotic large subunit ribosomal RNA
Source: RNAcentral